CUGGUUGAUCCUGCCAGUAGUCAUAUGCUUGUCUCAAAGAUUAAGCCAUGCAUGUGUAAGUAUAAGCCCUUGUACGGCGAAACUGCGAAUGGCUCAUUAAAACAGUUAUCGUUUCUUUGAUGGUCAACUUACUACAUGGAUAACUGUAGUAAUUCUAGAGCUAAUACAUGCGCAAAGACCCGACUUCACGGAAGGGUUGUGUUUAUUAGAUACAAAGCCAACCUGUGUUCGCACAGUCCUUUGUUGGUGAUUCAUAAUAACCUAGCGGAUCGCAUGGGUACGCCCGGCGAUGGAUCUUUCAAGUUUCUGACCUAUCAGCUAUCGACGGUAGGGUAUUGGCCUACCGUGGCUAUGACGGGUAACGGAGAAUUAGGGUUCGGUUCCGGAGAGGGAGCCUGAGAAACGGCUACCACAUCUAAGGAUGGCAGCAGGCGCGCAAAUUACCCAAUCCUGACACAGGGAGGUAGUGACAAGAAAUAACAAUGCUAGGCUUUACAGUCUGGCAAUUGGAAUGAGUAGAUUUUAAAUCUCUUUACGAGUAUCAAUUGGCGGCAAGUCUGGU
This 562-nucleotide ribosomal RNA is filed under the name uncultured eukaryote. RNAcentral describes it as "bacterial SSU rRNA". It matches the Rfam family "Eukaryotic small subunit ribosomal RNA", at positions 4 to 565 of the family's 1831-position model. The record is from RNAcentral.